RNAcentral lists this ribosomal RNA (301 nucleotides) under uncultured bacterium. RNAcentral's name for it is "partial 16S ribosomal RNA". It matches the Rfam family "Bacterial small subunit ribosomal RNA", at positions 509 to 807 of the family's 1533-position model. The record is from RNAcentral.
CAGUCGCCGCGGGAAUACAGAGGGUGCGAGCGUUAAUCGGAUUUACUGGGCGUAAAGCGUGCGUAGGCGGCUUCUUAAGUCGGAUGUGAAAUCCCUGAGCUUAACUUAGGAAUUGCAUUCGAUUCUGGGAAGCUAGAGUAUGGGAGAGGAUGGUAGAAUUCCAGGUGUAGCGGUGAAAUGCGUAGAGAUCUGGAGGAAUACCGAUGGCGAAGGCAGCCAUCUGGCCUAAUACUGACGCUGAGGUACGAAAGCAUGGGGAGCAAACAGGAUUAGAUACCCCAGUAGUCCCUGUCUCUUAUAC